RNAcentral lists this long non-coding RNA (595 nucleotides) under Anas platyrhynchos platyrhynchos (common mallard). RNAcentral describes it as "lncRNA (ENSAPLG00000022441.1)". The record is from RNAcentral. Lineage: Eukaryota; Metazoa; Chordata; Aves; Anseriformes; Anatidae.
AUCCCAAGCUGGGAAUGAAGCUGAAGUGGAAGUAGUGAAAUUUCUUUCACUACUAGUUUGAAAAAGCCUGCAUGUUCUCUUACAAGAAUUUCAAAGCUUUGUUCUAGUGCUAUUAUUUGACUAAUAGACAAAGCUGCAAGUUAAUUGUAGUAAAAAGAUUUAUUGUCAUUAUAACAGCAAAAUCUGAAAAAUGAAAGGUAUCAUUAAAAGGUGUCAUUCUCCUUUAUAAAAGCAGUUUGUUAUGUAAUUAGCUUUUGAAUUCUGAGAGCACAAGUCCAGAUGUCCCUUGCUCUUGCCUUGGCAGCCCAUGCAGUAUGUUUCAUGUAAAUACUCCGUUUCAGUAGAUCACCAGAAGGAACUGCAACAUAUUUCAAAGAAUAAUAUAUAACCAAGAAUGUUGGAGGACUCAAGUUUAUUUCCCUCGCUGUGCUGAAGAAAACUGACAUUCUUACUUUCCAUCAAGUGAAGGCCAUAAUCAUUAGGAAUGACUUAUACUGAACAACAGUUACUUCUUCCUGUCCUGUUGAAUCUGAACUCCUGACUCAGUAGACCAAAGAGAAAGAAUUGGCUUUGGUUCUGGGCCCAAUAUGGAAAG